UAGCCGUAAACGAUACUCGCUAGGUGUCGGCCACGGUGCGACCGUUGUCGGUGCCGUAGGGAAGCCGUGAAGCGAGCCACCUGGGAAGUACGGCCGCAAGGCUGAAACUUAAAGGAAUUGGCGGGGGAGCACCACAACGGGUGGAGCUUGCGGUUUAAUUGGAUUCAACGCCGGAAAUCUUACCGGGACCGACAGCAACAUGAAGGCCAGGCUGAAGACUUUGCCGGAUUAGCUGAGAGGUGGUGCAUGGCCGUAGUCGUGU
Molecule: ribosomal RNA, 262 nt
Filed under: uncultured archaeon
Lineage: Archaea
Description: partial 16S ribosomal RNA
Rfam family: Archaeal small subunit ribosomal RNA
Source: RNAcentral